GAUGAACGCUGGCGGCGUGCCUAAUACAUGCAAGUCGAACGAAACUUCUUUAUCACCGAGUGCUUCCACUCACCGAUAAAGAGUUGAGUGGCGAACGUGUGAGUAACACGUGUGCAACCUGCCCAAAAGAGGGGGAUAACACUUGGAAACAGGUGCUAAUACCGCAUAACCAUAGUUACCGCAUGGUAACUAUGUAAAAUGUGGCUAUGCUACCGCUUUUUGAUGGGCGGGCGGCGCAUUAGCUAGUUGGUAGGGUAAAGACUUAGCAAGGGAAUGAUGCGUAGGCGAAUGGAGAGGUUGAACGGCCACGUGGUGACUGAGACACGGCCAAAACUCCUACGGGAGGAAGCAGUAGGGAAUGUGACACAAUGGGCGAAAGCCUGAUGGAGCAACGCCGAGUGGGAGAAGAAGGUCUUCGGAUCGUAAAACCCUGUUGUUAGUGAAAAAAGUGCGUGAGAGUAACUGUUCACGUUUUGACGGUAUCUAACCAGAAAGCCACAGCUAACUACGUG
Molecule: ribosomal RNA, 512 nt
Filed under: uncultured bacterium
Lineage: Bacteria
Description: partial 16S ribosomal RNA
Rfam family: Bacterial small subunit ribosomal RNA
Source: RNAcentral